Molecule: ribosomal RNA, 258 nt
Filed under: uncultured prokaryote
Description: partial 16S ribosomal RNA
Rfam family: Bacterial small subunit ribosomal RNA
Source: RNAcentral
UACGUAGGUGGCAAGCGUUAUCCGGAAUUAUUGGGCGUAAAGGGUUCGCAGGUGGUCUGUUAAGUCAGAUGUGAAAGGCAGUGGCUCAACCAUUGCAAGCAUUUGAAACUGGCAGACUUGAGUACAGGAGAGGAAAGCGGAAUUCCUAGUGUAGCGGUGAAAUGCGUAGAUAUUAGGAGGAACACCAGUUGCGAAGGCGGCUCUCUGGACUGUAACUGACACUGAGGCACGAAAGCGUGGGGAGCAAACAGGAUUAGA